UACGGGGGGAGCAAGCGUUGUUCGGAUUUACUGGGCGUAAAGGGCGCGUAGGCGGCACUGCAAGUCAGUUGUGAAAUCUCCGGGCUUAACCCGGAAAGGUCAACUGAUACUGCAGGGCUAGAGUGCAGAAGGGGCAACUGGAAUUCUCGGUGUAGCGGUGAAAUGCGCAGAUAUCAGGAGGAACACCGGUGGCGAAGGCGGGUCUCUGGGCCGAUACUGACGCUGGGGAGCGAAAGCGUGGGGAGCGAACAGG
This 253-nucleotide ribosomal RNA is filed under the name uncultured bacterium. RNAcentral describes it as "partial 16S ribosomal RNA". It matches the Rfam family "Bacterial small subunit ribosomal RNA", at positions 524 to 776 of the family's 1533-position model. The record is from RNAcentral.